UACGGAAGGCAGCAGUGGGGAAUAUUGCACAAUGGGCGCAAGCCUGAUGCAGCCAUGCCGCGUGUAUGAAGAAGGCCUUCGGGUUGUAAAGUACUUUCAGUCGUGAGGAAGGUGUUAAGGUUAAUAACCUUAGCAAUUGACGUUAGCGACAGAAGAAGCACCGGCUAACUCCGUGCCAGCAGCCGCGGUAAUACGGAGGGUGCGAGCGUUAAUCGGAAUUACUGGGCGUAAAGGGCACGCAGGCGGUUAAUUAAGUUGGAUGUGAAAUCCCCGGGCUUAAACCUGGGAAUGGCAUUCAAGACUGGUUAGCUAGAGUCUUGUAGAGGGGGUAGAAUUCCAUGUGUAGCGGUGAAAUGCGUAGAGAUGUGGAGGAAUACCGGUGGCGAAGGCGGCCCCUGGACAAAGACUGACGCUCAUGUGCGAAAGCGUGGGGAGC
Molecule: ribosomal RNA, 436 nt
Filed under: uncultured bacterium
Lineage: Bacteria
Description: bacterial SSU rRNA
Rfam family: Bacterial small subunit ribosomal RNA
Source: RNAcentral